GAUGAAUGCUGGCGGCGUGCCUAAUACAUGCAAGUCGAGCGAACAGACGAGGAGCUUGCUCCUCUGACGUUAGCGGCGGACGGGUGAGUAACACGUGGAUAACCUACCUAUAAGACUGGGAUAACUUCGGGAAACCGGAGCUAAUACCGGAUAAUAUAUUGAACCGCAUGGUUCAAUAGUGAAAGACGGUUUUGCUGUCACUUAUAGAUGGAUCCGCGCCGCAUUAGCUAGUUGUUAAGGUAACGGCUUACCAAGGCAACGAUGCGUAGCCGACCUGAGAGGGUGAUCGGCCACACUGGAACUGAGACACGGUCCAGACUCCUACGGGAGGCAGCAGUAGGGAAUCUUCCGCAAUGGGCGAAAGCCUGACGGAGCAACGCCGCGUGAGUGAUGAAGGUCUUCGGAUCGUAAAACUCUGUUAUUAGGGAAGAACAAAUGUGUAAGUAACUAUGCACGUCUUGACGGUACCUAAUCAGAAAGCCACGGCUAACUACGUG
RNAcentral lists this ribosomal RNA (497 nucleotides) under uncultured bacterium. Its description in RNAcentral is "partial 16S ribosomal RNA". It matches the Rfam family "Bacterial small subunit ribosomal RNA", at positions 28 to 507 of the family's 1533-position model. The record is from RNAcentral.